AGAGUUUGAUCCUGGCUCAGGACGAACGCUGGCGGCGUGCUUAACACAUGCAAGUCGAACGAUGAAGCUGGAGCUUGCUCUAGCGGAUUAGUGGCGAACGGGUGAGUAACACGUGAGCAAUCUGCCCUUGACUCUGGGAUAACUGCGGGAAACUGUAGCUAAUACCGGAUACUUUCACCGGGGGGCAUCCUCUGGUGAUGAAAGAAUUUCGGUCAAGGAUGAGCUCGCGGCCUAUCAGCUUGUUGGUGAGGUAACGGCUCACCAAGGCGACGACGGGUAACCGGCCUGAGAGGGUGACCGGUCACACUGGGACUGAGACACGGCCCAGACUCCUACGGGAGGCAGCAGUGGGGAAUAUUGCACAAUGGGCGCAAGCCUGAUGCAGCAACGCCGCGUGAGGGAUGAAGGCCUUCGGGUUGUAAACCUCUUUCAGUAGGGACGAAGCGCAAGUGACGGUACCUACAGAAGAAGGACCGGCCAACUACGUGCCAGCAGCCGCGGUAAUACGUAGGGUCCGAGCGUUGUCCGGAAUUACUGGGCGUAAAGAGCUCGUAGGUGGUUUGUCGCGUUGUCCGUGAAAACUCACAGCUUAACUGUGGGCGUGCGGGCGAUACGGGCAGACUGGAGUACUGCAGGGGAGACUGGAAUUCCUGGUGUAGCGGUGGAAUGCGCAGAUAUCAGGAGGAACACCGGUGGCGAAGGCGGGUCUCUGGGCAGUAACUGACGCUGAGGAGCGAAAGCGUGGGGGAGCGAACAGGAUUAGAUACCCUGAUAGUCCACGCCGUAAACGGUGGGUACUAGGUGUGGGUUUCCUUCCUUGGGAUCCGUGCCGUAGCUAACGCAUUAAGUACCCCGCCUGGGGAGUACGGCCGCAAGGCUAAAACUCAAAGAAAUUGACGGGGGCCCGCACAAGCGGCGGAGCAUGUGGAUUAAUUCGAUGCAACGCGAAGAACCUUACCUGGGUUUGACAUGCAC
RNAcentral lists this ribosomal RNA (975 nucleotides) under uncultured Actinomycetes bacterium. RNAcentral's name for it is "bacterial SSU rRNA". It matches the Rfam family "Bacterial small subunit ribosomal RNA", at positions 8 to 991 of the family's 1533-position model. The record is from RNAcentral. Lineage: Bacteria; Bacillati; Actinomycetota; Actinomycetes.